This 1079-nucleotide long non-coding RNA is filed under the name Androctonus crassicauda. The record is from RNAcentral. Lineage: Eukaryota; Metazoa; Arthropoda; Arachnida; Scorpiones; Buthidae.
GUUGUGAACAAUGCAGUGCAAUGCCAUUUUCUUGAUUAGUGUUUAUUUUGGUUAUCUGAAAUCAUUUUAAGUGAAAAAAAAUCAACCAUUCUGCCAAAAUUAUUUUUGAUUUCAAACUUGCAUGAGACAUUUCUGGAAGUAUUACAUAAUAAUAAUAUGAUAAAAUAUUUGGAAUUCUUAUAUAGUAGUAAACAUUUAACGAUAAAUUGGCAAACUAUUUUUAAUUAUACUAUAAUAGAUGUGAGAUUUCUUAAUUCAGUUUGUGAGGAUUUGACUGGUGACUUACUUGUACGGUGGCCAUCGGGUUGGAGUUUGCUGGUGUCGACAUGGGAUGGUUUUGUCUAGUUGCCAGCUUGAAGCCUUGCCUCCGACUGUAUUUUGUUUAAUUUAUGAAAAAGUGUUAAUAAUAAUUUGUUCUAUUAUAAUGAUAAAAAUAUUGUUUAGCUUAAUACAAGAAGUUAUAUUCAAUUAUUGUAAACUUUGUUUCUUAAUUGUUACAUAAAUAUGAUAAUGAGAUUACAUUUAAAAGGAAGGUCUAAAGAAGGUGUUGUUGUCUUGCCUAUUAUUUGGUCGUUACGUCUCUGUAGUAUCAGCUAGUGCUGUUUUUAUGUUGUUCAUCUGUUGUUGGUGUUUUUGGAGUAUUCAUUAUGUCGGAGGCUUUGAUUACAUCCAAGUGGUUGUCAAUUUGAAGACAUGGACUAUUGGAAAUCUGUUUGCAGACUUGGAAGUUGUGUUUUGUUGGUUGAAGACUGGAAGAUGUUUGAGAAACCACCAUAGAAAGGCAAAUAUACAAUUUAUAUUGGUGAGAUUUUUUGCUGUAAGUAGUUUUGAAGUUGUGAAGUUUUCGUUUAAUAAAGUCACUUAUUAUGGAGCAGUGGUGUGAAUCGCUUAUUCGCUGGUUGGACACCAAUGAACUGAAUUAAUAUUAAGAUAAGUUCAAAUAAAAAAGAGACGCAGAGUCAAACCGAUAGUGAAAAUACCGGGUUAUAUCUAAAUUUCUCAAGUUCAAAUACUUGACUGUUGUCAAAUUUAUUAAUGUUAUAUAUUUAUUGUUUUUUUAUAUUUUUUUAUUGUAGUAU